Molecule: ribosomal RNA, 492 nt
Filed under: uncultured bacterium
Lineage: Bacteria
Description: partial 16S ribosomal RNA
Rfam family: Bacterial small subunit ribosomal RNA
Source: RNAcentral
AGUGAACGCUGGCGGUAGGCCUAACACAUGCAAGUCGAACGGCAGCACAGUAAGAGCUUGCUCUUACGGGUGGCGAGUGGCGGACGGGUGAGGAAUACAUCGGAAUCUACUUUUUCGUGGGGGAUAACGUAGGGAAACUUACGCUAAUACCGCAUACGACCUACGGGUGAAAGCAGGGGAUCUUCGGACCUUGCGCGAUUGAAUGAGCCGAUGUCGGAUUAGCUAGUUGGCGGGGUAAAGGCCCACCAAGGCGACGAUCCGUAGCUGGUCUGAGAGGAUGAUCAGCCACCCUGGAACUGAGACACGGUCCAGACUCCUACGGUAGGCAGCAGUGGGGAAUAUUGGACAAUGGGCGCAAGCCUGAUCCAGCCAUACCGCGUGGGUGAAGAAGGCCUUCGGGUUGUAAAGCCCUUUUGUUGGGAAAGAAAAGCAGCAGGUUAAUACCCCGCUGUUCUGACGGUACCCAAAGAAUAAGCACCGGCUAACUUCGUG